GCAACAUUCAGCAGCGGCCCGCCACGCUGCACACGGGGGCGCAAACGCCGUCGGACGCCGGCGAGGCGGAGGGUGACCGGGGGUGCGAGACGCACCAGCCAGCUGGCGACACGGAUCUCACUUCGCCCACGGACUCGGUCAACGGCCAGAGCGACUAGGUCAGGUCAGCGGCCGCCCGGCCGGCAGCGGCCGCCAGAGGCGCCACCUGUCCCACGGGAGGCACACCCGGUGUCAGACGUGUGCGAGCUCACGUCGGCGGGAGCUGCUGACCUGACCUGACCUGCUGGAGGUCCGCCCGGUCAACGGCGGACGGGGUGGCAGGCCUGGCUCCGGGGAUGGCAGGCCGGCAGAGUCAGUCGCCUGUAGUGAGUGUUGCGUCGGCACUGUCCCAGGCCCGCACAUGCCUGGACCGUGUCCGUCGUAUACAUGCGUACUGAGACGUGUAGUGCGACUCAAUGGGCGUGUGUGACGUUGGCUGUUGUGUGUGCACUGAAGCUAGUAAUGACUUCGCAUGGAUCUGUCUUGAGGGUAUGUGAGGGUUGUUUGGGUUGUCUGCCUGCUGACUUGGCUGACGAGAACGCAAUUCAUUUAUGAUUAGAUGUGCCUUAUAUGUUCAUUUUUAGUAUGCAUAUUGUUUGGGCUCACGUAUGCAAUUAACUGUUUGAACUCUGCGGGGUCAUAUAGCCACACACAGAUAUGUAUGUUGCGGCGCGUUGAGUGAAAUUAUGUUGCCUUAUCUUGGUAUAGCACUAUUACGGACAGGCUGGCAUGUACUCUUAUACCACCAGUGAGCGGGGGGCCUCUUCAGCCCAUUCUGUCCGGUUGAUAAGAACGCUAACCCGAAGCGUAGGGUUGAAAACACACGAUGUGGUGAAGUACUGCUGCUUUUAUGUAACCUUUCUGGGUUGUGUUUGCCCGAAAUGAAUUCGUGCAUUUCAGGUGUUACUGUGAUAAUUUCCGAGCACUUUUUCAGACAAAAUGUCAGUGGUGAUAAAAGGCCGGAAUAAAAGCAGAUAAAGUUUCACUACAUCGUAGUUCAUUUACUACUAGUCCCCGAUUACUAGAUUCCGGAAAUCGUAAUGCACUAAAAGUGCUGGCCAACCCCAUGGUCAUGAUCCAUCGGGUUAUUUCAAACGAUUUUUGAUGAACCACGCUGCUUGACCAACCAACAGCUUUCAUAAAGCAUUCUGCUAUUCAGUGAGUUUCAAGACGCUUAGCAUCGGUGUGAAGCGGUGCCAAUGCCGUAACACAUCUAGUAAUGACAGCAUUACGAUUGGGUGAAAAGCCCUUGGUUUCCAUGUGACUUUAUUUGAACUUGUGCUCAACUUUGCACUUGGUUUGAAAUAACGGCUUGGUACUGAACGCCAACUGCUCAUCUAUUUAAGGAGAUAUUGCCCGCAGUAAUAGCCCUUUUCCUUGGAGAAAAACCAGGAGAAUGGAGAUAUAGAUGGAUUGAUAUUUCGAUAACAUGCCUUUAUCGAAACAAUAGCAAGAGAUAAAGGCAUGUUGCCGAAAUACCAACCUUUUAUGUCUUUUCCCCGGGUUCUUCUCCGAGAGAUAUUGCCCGAGCGGUCCUGGGCAGCGAAGGGUUCACUCCCCAUACAAUAUUCUCCAUUUCCAUUACUCAGUGGUGGGAUUUAGUUCUCGUACACAUCGUGGUAAGUCUCUACGGUGGCCGGCCGCGUCCCUAGUCGAACUACUGUGAUGUCAUCCACAAUAUGACCUUGCACUGAGAGGUACGUAUUUGCAGCCGUGAAUGCGUCAUCAUUUGUGAGCCGUCGGGUCCGCCUCGUGCCCAUGCACCGAGUACUGAUGUGAUUCUAUAUGGGGAGCGCGGUUGUAGUGACGCCCCCCCCCCGCCCCUCCUCCCCUCCCCUCAUCCCUGUGAGUGGGCGUUGGGUGGGUGCAUAAUGGCGUAAGCACAUGCAUUCCUGAUUUCAAGGCGCCGCACCGAGACGAGGCGACUGACCUUUGUAUCUGGUGGCUAGAUUGCGGACCUGGCCUCCGGUCCACACUGGCCCAUCCCCUGGUCCGGACCAGCUGGUCUUCCGGUCCAACAAGCCGUCUCUCGGUCCAGACCCGUCGGUCUCCCGGUCCAGACUCGUCGGUCUCCCAGUUCAGAUCCGUCGGUCCAGCGGUUCAAAUGUCAUCCAGUAGUGUGUGCUGUGCAGGAUGCAAAUAUAAAUUCGUGCUACCAGAAUCCUGGCUCUCUGGUGGUCCACGCACGCAAUUCGUUGGCGCUAAUCCGUUGUCUUUUGACCCCGACCCAGAGAUCUGACCUACUCAGCCGAUUUGUUACGCCUGGGGCGCAUGUGUACUGGUUUGACAGCCGUCUGUCUCGAUGCUGAUUGGCUGAUUUUGAGCAAGGGGAGAGGCCAUAGGCAGUGAGCCCAAACCCGGGGUGUUACAGCAUGAAAAAAUAUCAACAUACCGGCCACCCAAGUGGCCGAAUAUUGGAGCAUUGCGUCGGCCUCACGGUCUAAUCAGCCGGUCGCCCGGCCCAGACCUGCCGGCCUCUCGGCCCAGACCCUCCGGUCUCCCGGUCCAGAUCAGUCGGUCGUCCGGUCCGGACCCUCCGGUCUCCCGGUCCAGAUCAGCCGGUCGCCCGAUCCAGACCCACUGGUCCUCCGGUCCAGAUCAGCCGGUGCCUGGGUCCAGGCCAGCAACGUCCCACCAUCGUCAGCAGACCGCUGUCGGCACUGGCGCAGGUCGACCGCGCGCUCCCGACCGGCCGCCGGCGGCGGACUGGACCCUGCGAUGUCCCGGCAGAGACGCGCCGCUGCUCGGGCCGCUCGGCUGCGAUGGGCAUCGCGAGCGCCACCGCACGUCACAGCGCCAUUGCCGCAGUCAUGUCAAUGGUCGGCGUUUUCUGUUUAUAUUCUCGAGGAUGCCAUCGACAGCGCCGUGUGGUCCGCGGACGCCUCACGUUGGGUGGGUCUGGUUUUGAGUGAGGUGGAACGAUGGAGGACGGCCGGCACCGGUCCUUCCCCUGGGUGACAGCCAUGCCCCUGUGAUCGUGCGUUGGCGCCGACAGCGCCCCGCCGGUGAGCCGGUUCCGAUCGAUGCCAGGCCGAUGGGUCGUGUCCCGAGGAGGUCUCAAUAGCCCUUCAACAGUUGUGUUCACAGGUCAACGGACAUUGUUGGCCGCAUGCUUCCACAGGCACGUAACUAUUCAGCGAUGCUUUUUUCUACUACAUGCUUCUGCAGGCACUAAGAUGUGGGGCUUAGUGUGUGUGUGGGGGGGGGGGGGGCAAAGACGUAAUCUUCUGCUAGCUCCUUUGAAUUGGACCGAAUUCGUGCGAAAUCGUUCAGCAUCAAGUGCAGACCUGUUGGCCCAAGGACAUGGCCCUGUACACACUUUCCCAGCCCUCCCCCUCACUACGUCCCAGACUUGUAACGGGCAAGAAAGUUGGUGCUCGUUGCUUUGUGCCGAUUACCAGGCAAGCCUAUCUGAGCCCCUUUGGGACAUGGCCGUCGGUUUGUCACUGAUCCACAUGACUUCUCAGGCGAUGCGAUCUGAUCUUUGUCAACGACCCGGUUGUGUGUUUGGGAGGCACGUCGGGCGCAUGUUGCAUUUCUAGAUUGCGGCACAGGCAGUGUGGCAGGCACCCAGUGCUGAUGCUUGAGGCACGUGUUCGGUGGCUUGCGUGUGUGGCUGGAAGACACGUGCGGUGCAUGGCACCUGUGAAUAUCAUGAAUAAACGGCUUUUCUGCG
Molecule: long non-coding RNA, 3715 nt
Filed under: Pollicipes pollicipes
Lineage: Eukaryota; Metazoa; Arthropoda; Thecostraca; Pollicipedomorpha; Pollicipedidae
Description: uncharacterized LOC119112112
Source: RNAcentral